RNAcentral lists this ribosomal RNA (668 nucleotides) under bacterium IMCC7504. RNAcentral describes it as "bacterial SSU rRNA". It matches the Rfam family "Bacterial small subunit ribosomal RNA", at positions 28 to 741 of the family's 1533-position model. The record is from RNAcentral.
AACGUACGCUGGCGGCACGCCUAACACAUGCAAGUCGAACGAAGUAGCAAUACUUAGUGGCAGACGGGUGAGUAACAUGUAGGUAUCUGCCCUUUGGCCUGGAAUAACACGAGGAAACUUGUGCUAAUACCGGAUAAGUCUUUACGGAGAAAGCUUUAUGCACCAUUGGAUGAGCCUGCACUUGAUUAGUUUGUUGGUGGGGUAAUGGCCUACCAAGACUGUGAUCAAUAGCUGAUUUGAGAGGAUGAUCAGCCACAUUGGGACUGAGACACGGCCCAAACUCCUACGGGAGGCAGCAGUGGGGAAUCUUGCACAAUGGAGGAAACUCUGAUGCAGCGAUGCCGCGUGAGUGAAGAAGGCCUUUGGGUUGUAAAGCUCUUUCGUCGGGGAAGAAAAUGACUGUACCCGAAUAAGAAGGUCCGGCUAACUUCGUGCCAGCAGCCGCGGUAAUACGAAGGGACCUAGCGUAGUUCGGAAUUACUGGGCUUAAAGAGUUCGUAGGUGGUUGAAAAAGUUAGUGGUGAAAUCCCAGAGCUUAACUCUGGAACUGCCAUUAAAACUUUUCAGCUAGAGUAUGAUAGAGGAAAGCAGAAUUUCUAGUGUAGAGGUGAAAUUCGUAGAUAUUAGAAAGAAUACCAAUUGCGAAGGCAGCUUUCUGGAUCAUUACU